AUUGAACGCUGGCGGAAUGCUUUACACAUGCAAGUCGAACGGUAGAGGGGGCAACCCCUCGAGAGUGGCGAACGGGUGAGUAAUAUAUCGGAACGUGCCCAGUCGUGGGGGAUAACGUAGCGAAAGUUACGCUAAUACCGCAUACGAUCUAAGGAUGAAAGCGGGGGAUCGCAAGACCUCGCGCGAUUGGAGCGGCCGAUAUCAGAUUAGGUAGUUGGUGGGGUAAAGGCUCACCAAGCCAACGAUCUGUAGCUGGUCUGAGAGGACGACCAGCCACACUGGAACUGAGACACGGUCCAGACUCCUACGGGAGGCAGCAGUGGGGAAUUUUGGACAAUGGACGCAAGUCUGAUCCAGCCAUUCCGCGUGCAGGAUGAAGGCCCUCGGGCUGUAAACUGCUUUUGUACGGAACGAAAAGGUCUCUCUUAAUACGGGGGGCUCAUGACGGUACCGUAAGAAUAAGCACCGGCUAACUACGUGCCAGCAGCCGCCGCAG
This 496-nucleotide ribosomal RNA is filed under the name uncultured bacterium. RNAcentral describes it as "partial 16S ribosomal RNA". It matches the Rfam family "Bacterial small subunit ribosomal RNA", at positions 30 to 523 of the family's 1533-position model. The record is from RNAcentral.